Molecule: small RNA, 174 nt
Filed under: Chelonoidis abingdonii (Abingdon island giant tortoise)
Lineage: Eukaryota; Metazoa; Chordata; Testudines; Testudinidae
Description: TUC338 (ENSCABG00000019476.1)
Source: RNAcentral
UUGAGGGCACUCUGUGAAGAAUGAAGUCUUGUUUAUCCACAGAACAGGCACAGCAUGGGCCAUGGCAGUUUCCCCAUGCCACACUUAACACCUGUCAGCUCUGGCCCAGACUGACCAGGCCCUGAAUGUCAGAGGGAAAUUCAGUCUCCAGGCCCUAUUUAAGUCUUGGUCUCU